RNAcentral lists this ribosomal RNA (449 nucleotides) under uncultured bacterium. Its description in RNAcentral is "bacterial SSU rRNA". It matches the Rfam family "Bacterial small subunit ribosomal RNA", at positions 29 to 524 of the family's 1533-position model. The record is from RNAcentral.
AACGAGCGCUGGCGGCAGGCCUAACACAUGCAAGUCGAGCGGGGAGCAAUCCCUAGCGGCGGACGGGUUAGUAACGCGUGGGAACAUACCCUUUGGUACGGAAUAGCCUCGGGAAACUGAGAGUAAUACCGUAUGUGCCCUUCGGGGAAAGAUUAUCGCCAAAGGAUUGGCCCGCGUUGGAUUAGGUAGUUGGUGGGGUAAAUGGCCUACCAAGCCGACGAUCCAUAGCUGGUUUGAGAGGAUGAUCAGCAACACUGGGACUGAGACACGGCCCAGACUCCUACGGGAGGCAGCAGUGGGGAAUCUUAGACAAUGGGCGAAAGCCUGAUCUAGCCAUGCCGCGUGGACGAUGAAGGCCUUAGGGUUGUAAAAGUCCUUUCAGAUGGGAAGAUAAUGACGGUACCAUCAGAAGAAGCCCCGGCUAACUCCGUGCCAGCAGCCGCGGUAAU